UAUUAAAAAUUUCAUCCAUCUUAUUGUUAAACACUAACGUGACUAAUAGAAUAAUUAAAUAGAGCCAUGUGUACCUCAUGCUAAUGUAUAUAUAUCAGGUUUUAAUAGAAAAAUGGAUGAAAUUUUUAAUA
This 131-nucleotide microRNA precursor is filed under the name Gossypium hirsutum (cotton). Its description in RNAcentral is "MIR7502 microRNA precursor family". It matches the Rfam family "MIR7502 microRNA precursor family". Lineage: Eukaryota; Viridiplantae; Streptophyta; Magnoliopsida; Malvales; Malvaceae. The record is from Rfam by way of RNAcentral.